Molecule: long non-coding RNA, 798 nt
Filed under: Sus scrofa (pig)
Lineage: Eukaryota; Metazoa; Chordata; Mammalia; Artiodactyla; Suidae
Description: lncRNA (ENSSSCG00070004526.1)
Source: RNAcentral
ACUUUCUGGGGCCACAGGGUUAUUAUCAAGCAUCCAGGAAAUCCUCUGCUGAGCCAGCCCUGAAGGUAGUCCGGACAAUGCGUACCGACUAGGCCCUGGACCCUUCUGCCUUCUCCUCUCUGCUCCCCACCUCAGGCGGAACUUCAUACCAGCAUCAAAGGCCCCCCUGCCCUCUAGCUUCCCACCGGGCUCGGCCAAGGAACCACCAAGAGAUCCAAGAAGGAGAGAUUCGAGGAGGUGGCAGUGGAGGCCCGAGGAGGGCGAGGUAAGGGCAUUUACUCCCCCUCCGGCAGCCCCUGGCCCUGGCUCUCUCCUCCAGCUCCAGCUCUCGGGCUGGAUUCCAGUAACUGCCCUUGCACUUGACCCUUAGCCCAAGAAUGCUGAUGGCUCUGUCUCCCCUUUUGCCAGCACUGCUGCAACCCUCAUCUCUCCUUGGCUGGUUUUCCCUAAUCUUGCUCCAACAGUCUUUCAUACCAGUGGGCUCAGGAGAAGACGGUCUUAAUGCCAGGCUGAGGCCUUGAGACUGUUGGGCAGCGCUGCUUUAGAUCGAACAGCUGCACACAGACAGCCUGGGAGGGAGGGGCGGGCAGGCAGGAUGCGGUGGAGGUGGCUCCCGUGAGAGACACCGAGGGUUGGGGUGCAGGCAGAGGCAUGGAGGGCAGCUCCCUGUUCCUUCUGCUACAGGCUGGUGAGCUGUGGGAGAGUGGAGAGGCCAGGUGAGCAGGAGAGCAAAUGUGUCUGCUAGAGAAGGUCCUCUUUUAAUCAGCUCUUGUACAAAAAGUGAAUGGAGGCAUUGCU